This 465-nucleotide ribosomal RNA is filed under the name Vreelandella stevensii. RNAcentral describes it as "partial 16S ribosomal RNA". It matches the Rfam family "Bacterial small subunit ribosomal RNA", at positions 338 to 795 of the family's 1533-position model. The record is from RNAcentral. Lineage: Bacteria; Pseudomonadati; Pseudomonadota; Gammaproteobacteria; Oceanospirillales; Halomonadaceae.
CCUACGGGGGGCAGCAGUGGGGAAUAUUGGACAAUGGGCGAAAGCCUGAUCCAGCCAUGCCGCGUGUGUGAAGAAGGCCUUCGGGUUGUAAAGCACUUUCAGUGGGGAAGAAAGCCUUGGGGCUAAUACCCUCGAGGAAGGACAUCACCCACAGAAUAAGCACCGGCUAACUCCGUGCCAGCAGCCGCGGUAAUACGGAGGGUGCGAGCGUUAAUCGGAAUUACUGGGCGUAAAGCGCGCGUAGGCGGUCUGAUAAGCCGGUUGUGAAAGCCCCGGGCUCAACCUGGGAACGGCCUCCGGAACUGUCAGGCUAGAGUGCAGGAGAGGAAGGUAGAAUUCCCGGUGUAGCGGUGAAAUGCGUAGAGAUCGGGAGGAAUACCGGUGGCGAAGGCGGCCUUCUGGACUGACACUGACGCUGAGGUGCGAAAGCGUGGGUAGCAAACAGGAUUAGAUACCCGUGUAGUC